AGUAAUUUAGAAUGUGAUAGUUACAAUUGCUUAUAUUACUUCUCUAAAACAUGUGUUUUGACUUCAGUGAAAUUCUAUUCAAACAUAAAAAAUACAGCUUUGGUACUUCAUUAUAAAAGUUCACAAUUUUAAAACAUUACUUAUUACAUGGAUAUAGAAUUAUAUGUUUCAAUUAAGUGUGGUACUUUUCAAUGAGAUUUCAAUUUAAACAACAAAUAAUUAAAUUGAGGCAAUCACUUACAGCAUAAUAAAUAAGUAAAUUAAAUAUAACAAAGCCAACUUAAAACCUUUACACAUAUCUACAUGGUGUAUUCUCCACUCUUAUAAAGGCAGCCAUAUGGUUGAAAAUUUGAAUUUUUUUGUUUUGUUCCGUUUCCAUUUUAAUACCUAAUAGGUAGGGGAGUGGCGGGUAGUACGGCACGUCGGGUAGUAUGGCCCAGUCAUUAGUUCACACACUUGCCGCUAGAUAACAGCACGGUACAGAGGUGUGUAUGCAGAGCCCACGCCUGUGUACUGUUUGCGAACUGUUGGUAGUUGUCAUUGCUGUGCGUCAGAAGAAACUUUUUUUUGUGUGUUUUACUCGUUUCGGCUGCUGUUUCGAAUAACUUUUGAGAUUAACUGAGUGGAAAUAGGGACGAUGCCUAAAUUUAAGAAGAAGUCCGCUGGAGAAGGGCGAGGAGAAUGGUCUGAAGAUGCGAUGAAAUCAGCUGUGCAAGAUGUUUUGGAAAACAAAAUAGCGGUUCGGGCAGCAGCAGAACGUCAUAAUGUUCCCAGAACCACUUUACGAAGAAAAAUUUUGGCUGUAAGAACAAAAUCGCAAGUGGAAAUGAAACCUCAGCUUGGAAGCUUCAAAGUAAUUUUUGAUGAGAUGUAUGAAAACGAGCUUUUAAGGCAUAUGAAAUAUUUGGAUGCACGACUUAUGCCAUUAUCGAGACAUGAAUUCCUAAAGCUUGCAUACGAACUAGCAGAAAGUUUGAAGUUGCCUCAUAGAUUCAACAGGGAAAGUAAAUUCGGGGAAAGAUUUUUAUAUGGGUUUCAUGAAACGACAACCCGAGCUAAGUCAUCGAAAACUACAAUCAACUAGCUUAAUGCGAUCAGUAGGUUUUAACAAACCCCAAGUUGAAAGAUUUUUCGAUCAACUUACGAAGCUUCAAGAAGACUAUUCUUUUCAUCCAUCUAAAAUGUAUAACGCAGAUGAAACAGGGGUUACAUGCGUUCACGAAAAUUAGAUGGUGAUUUCAGUUAAAGGAAAGUGCCAAGUUGGGAAAAUGACUUUGGGGGAGAAAGGUUGCACAGUAACACUCAUGUUUGUAUGAGUGCAACAGGUCAUUUCAUACUACCUCUUUUUAUAUUCCCCCGGAAGAUAAUAAAUGAUCGACUAAUGAUUGGUGCUCCUACAGAAAGUAGCCAUUUCCCAACCCCCACCGGAUGGAUGAAUGGUCCAGCAUUUUUGUCAUGGCUGAAACAUUUUGUUUCAUUUACAAAGCCUACUGUAAAUUAUCCAGUUUUACUUAACCUGGAUGGCCACAGCAGCCACAAGGAACAAGAUGUCAUAAUGUAUGCACGUGAAAACCAUGUUCAUAUGCUAAGUAUCCCAGAGUGCCUACCAAGUCGCUUGCAGUUUGUGGAUGAGGGCCAAUCUUGGACUCAGGAUAAACGAAUAUGACAUCGCAAAAUUGGUCGCAGAUGCAUACAGGCAAGCCAGCCGUUUGGAAAUAGCAGAAAAUGGCUUCAGAUGCACAGGAAUAUAUCCCUGGAAUUCACAAAUAUUCACUUAUUUGGACUUCAUAGGCAGUGAGUUAACCAACAUAUCACUCAGCCACUCGAAAUCAAUCACACCUGAAACUUCAGCCGCAGUUGCUGUCCAAACCUCUACCAUGACAUCUCCUCAGCCAUCGAGGACGACUGACGUAGGCCUAUUAGCUGUUCUAUCAACUACUGGAACUUCUGCAACUGUUGUAGUUCAAACAUCUGCAGUGUCUUUUCCUGAUCCAUCAAGGGUGCCUGGCGACCCAGCUGCAGUACCAUCGCUUGCUGGAACUUCUGCUGCAGCUGCUGUUCCGAUGUCUGCUGUGCUUUCUCCUGAUACAUCGAGGGUGUCUGAAGUAUCAGCUGUUCUACUAAUUGUUGAGACUUCUUUGAAACUACACACACAUUCACAUCUUAGUGUUAGCUGUUCCGAGUUUGUAAAAACCUCUAAAAAUUGUCUCCUCUACCAUCGUGUAGUGAUAAAAGACUGACAAGUCGUAAGAGGAAGGCAGAAAGAAGUGAGAUUAUGACCUCAACUCCAAUAAAAGAUGCACUUAUAGAAAAGAAAAAA
This is a long non-coding RNA of Bacillus rossius redtenbacheri, 2320 nucleotides long. RefSeq lists it as uncharacterized. Lineage: Eukaryota; Metazoa; Arthropoda; Insecta; Phasmatodea; Bacillidae. The transcript has 2 exons. The record is from RefSeq and is a predicted model, not a curated record.